GCAUCUGCAAAACCAGAUGUCGGGAUUUGCACCCUGCUGUAAGCUACCGCGGACAUGUACACGCCGCGAGCGCGUUUUUU
RNAcentral lists this small RNA (80 nucleotides) under Arsenophonus endosymbiont of Aleurodicus floccissimus. RNAcentral describes it as "isrK Hfq binding RNA". It matches the Rfam family "isrK Hfq binding RNA". Lineage: Bacteria; Pseudomonadati; Pseudomonadota; Gammaproteobacteria; Enterobacterales; Morganellaceae. The record is from Rfam by way of RNAcentral.